RNAcentral lists this long non-coding RNA (370 nucleotides) under Physcomitrium patens. Its description in RNAcentral is "long non-coding RNA (PPAT_LNC011309)". Lineage: Eukaryota; Viridiplantae; Streptophyta; Bryopsida; Funariales; Funariaceae. The record is from RNAcentral.
UCGGAGUCUAAGUUAGAUGCUAUCAUGAAUGCCCUCGAUACAUUAUGGCAAAGAACUAUAGAAAUUGAAGGAGUUGUGGCAAGGCUUCAUAAUGAUAGAGCAUCUGAGAUGGCACAAUCUAGGUUGCACCAGCCUCAAACUUCUAUACUUGGAGAAGCAACUUUGCCUCAGGUUCAACAAGCACCGUUAGUUCUACAACAUAAGGAGCUUCGAGUUAGUCUUUCGGAUAAGUUUGAUGGUACGCAUUCCAAGUUUCAAGGAUUUGUCAAUCAAAUCAGGUUGAUAACAGUUUUACAGCCCGAACGCUAUCCAAGGGAAGAGUCACGUGUUAAGCUUGUUGGAACCUUACUUAUAGGGCAAGCUCUAUCAU